UUAACAUAAUUAAAAAAAAAUUAAAAAAUAAAUAUUUGAGUGUCAUUGUUUCUUCUCCAAUGCGCCCUUAUCAUUUACAGAACGAACUCAGAGCUUUCGCCAUGGACGAAUCUUUCCAUUACAAUGUCUGCACUAUUCACCGUCAGCUUUCGUUCUUCUACCAUCGCCGAAAUCUCAAUACUAUGCCCCCGGGGCUCCGAUUCGGUACCCGACGGAGGGCGGCGCCGCUUUCAAAGACGAAUAUGGCUUCUUGGAGUUUGCGAGGGCCACACUUGCUUUGGCGGCCAAAGAACAGAGCUCCGUGAGGGAAAUCGGCAGGUGCGCUUUAGCUAGCGGGAUUAGAAAAUAAAUUUCUCCUAAUUCGAGCUCUCUGUUGCUGGAUAUUUGGGGAAUGAUCGAAUCGAUCUUCAUAGAUUCUGAACUGCAGAGAAAGCAAUUAGGGUUUUGAUCAAGAAUGUGGCCGGCCUUUACUGGAUGCCUCAAUUCUUGAAGCCUACCAUCUGUAUGGAUAAUUUUUGCUGUUGAAGGCCAGUUUGUGAGGCUGCUAGCACUCGAGUUCUGAGAUGAGGCACAAACCCCCAUUGUUUUAGUUAGAUGGAAGAGGAGAUGGGUACGUAGUGAAUGAUAACUUAUAUUUAUAUAGAAAGAAAACUGGGGGGAAAAUAGCAGGGCAUGUGAAUCAUGGGGCCAUGAUAAGACGGUAUGAAAACGGCGGAAAAUGCAGUGAAUAUGAGGCUUGAUUAUCCUUUUUGAGUUUCCUUGGUGCUUCAAUUAGAUACCAAAACUGUGCAGAAGCUGGGCCACACUGACCAUUUAUCUCAGGGAGAAAGAGUGAGAAAGCAGGAGACCCCUUUCUCGACCAACCGACUGUUCAACGUGUCUCUCACUGUUUGACAAUGACACCAAUCGAUCUCAGGUGGGGCGAUCUCUACGCUGCCCCGAGGCUUCUUUUCGGUUGCUAACUGUCUCCAAUCCGGAAGAAAUGGGAUUGAAUUAUGUGGAUCAAUCUUAGUGCCAUGGAAGUGUAACGACCUAAGCCCACCACUAGUAAACAUUGUUCUCUUUGACCUUCCCUUUCGGACUUCUCCUCAUGGAGAGGUUUUCACACCCUUAUAAAGAAUGUUUCGUUCCCGUCUCCAACCGAUGUAGAUCUUAGAAUUCACCCUCUUUCGAGGCCGAACGUCCUCACUAGCACUCAUUCCUCUCUCUAAUUGAUAUGAGAUCUCACAAGAAGGGUAGCUGUCCUUUAUCAUGUUAGGUAAUAGGAUUAAGAAGAUGGGUGAAAGGAGACUGAAAAUAGUACCGACCAAAUUACUUCUUGGACAGUAACAGAGAAGAAGGAGAAGGGCCUCUUGCUGUACUGAAUUAUACUAUCCAGAUUUUGUCUCAUGAGGCUGGCGGUCCCCGGGUCUGCUUCAAAGAUGGGAUGUACUUGAUGGCAUUCUGUGACAAUAUAGAUAAUUGGUGGUAAUGACAAGGAAAGGGAAAGUUCACUUUCUGGAAAAGGAAACUUUGCUGAAAUUGUGAGGGAAUAUGCAAAUUUAGCCAAAUGCUAAAAAUUGAUUAAUGGGGUUGGAGUUUCUUAAUGUUUUAUGGUCUGUGUUGAUCAGGUAGAGCAGAUUUUGGAGCAACUUUUACAAAGUUUGGACCAAAAUGGCGUGCGUGCUUCAUUCAUCCUCUUCCAGGAAAAAUCUCGAACCAUUCUGUGUAGGCAAGUUCAAGAUACAUCCAAUUUACAGGUAGACUUGUGGCCCUCCUCCUUUGUAGAUAUGAAGUAUGCCCAAACUCUUUUUUCUUCCUUUCUUUUUCAAUAUGCCCUUUUCAUACGUUUCUUUCACGCUAGGAGAACCCUUUUCUAUAUUUGACACUAUUGUCGUUUCUUUGUGAAUGCAUCUCUGUUCUGGAAUA
Cucurbita pepo subsp. pepo (vegetable marrow) is the source of this 1908-nucleotide long non-coding RNA. RefSeq lists it as uncharacterized. The record is from RefSeq and is a predicted model, not a curated record. NCBI's taxonomy places the organism in Eukaryota, Viridiplantae, Streptophyta, Magnoliopsida, Cucurbitales, Cucurbitaceae.